RNAcentral lists this transfer RNA (59 nucleotides) under Balneola sp. RNAcentral's name for it is "tRNA-Asn". It matches the Rfam family "tRNA", at positions 7 to 62 of the family's 71-position model. From Rfam's summary of the family: Transfer RNA (tRNA) molecules are approximately 80 nucleotides in length. Their secondary structure includes four short double-helical elements and three loops (D, anti-codon, and T loops). Lineage: Bacteria; Pseudomonadati; Balneolota; Balneolia; Balneolales; Balneolaceae. The record is from RNAcentral.
CGGUAGCUCAGGGGCAGAGCAAGCGACUGUUAAUCGCUGGGUCGUAGGUUCAAAUCCUA